RNAcentral lists this ribosomal RNA (465 nucleotides) under Vreelandella stevensii. Its description in RNAcentral is "partial 16S ribosomal RNA". It matches the Rfam family "Bacterial small subunit ribosomal RNA", at positions 338 to 795 of the family's 1533-position model. The record is from RNAcentral. Lineage: Bacteria; Pseudomonadati; Pseudomonadota; Gammaproteobacteria; Oceanospirillales; Halomonadaceae.
CCUACGGGUGGCAGCAGUGGGGAAUAUUGGACAAUGGGGGGAACCCUGAUCCAGCCAUGCCGCGUGUGUGAAGAAGGCCCUCGGGUUGUAAAGCACUUUCAGUGAGGAAGAACGCCUGGUGGUUAAUACCCAUCAGGAAAGACAUCACUCACAGAAGAAGCACCGGCUAACUCCGUGCCAGCAGCCGCGGUAAUACGGAGGGUGCGAGCGUUAAUCGGAAUUACUGGGCGUAAAGCGCGCGUAGGUGGCUUGAUAAGCCGGUUGUGAAAGCCCCGGGCUCAACCUGGAAACGGCAUCCGGAACUGUCAAGCUAGAGUGCAGGAGAGGAAGGUAGAAUUCCCGGUGUAGCGGUGAAAUGCGUAGAGAUCGGGAGGAAUACCAGUGGCGAAGGCGGCCUUCUGGACUGACACUGACACUGAGGUGCGAAAGCGUGGGUAGCAAACAGGAUUAGAUACCCGAGUAGUC